AUGGAGCCCAAGGGAUUAUUUUUGUACUAUAAGAGCAAAAACUCCCCAAAGUCACUACUCUGCUCUCAAUUGAUCACCAUUCAAGAGGGCUCAUUAGAUCAUGUCACCUUGAAUAGCACCCCGGAAACGGAUGAGGGUUAUGUUUAUGACCUAACCCUAGAGUAUCAAGCGGCCAACUCUUCCACGGGUAGAAAUAUCUUUCUAGAUGUACCCAAAUUCAACAGCACAUUGACGUACCUCAGGCUUGGAAUUGAUGGAAACAUCAAGCUUUACACUUACUAUGACAAGGUAGAUUCAUGGGAGCAGACCUUCACACUUUUCGACAGAGAUUCGGUGUGGGAGACUGAGUGCCAGCUUCCGUCUAGAUGUGGAGACUUUGGCGUUUGUGAGGACAACCAAUGUGUUGCUUGUCCAUUGGCUAAAGGGCUUUUGGGUUGGAACAAGACUUGUAAGCCUGAGAAGGUAACUUCUUGUAAGGCAACGAACUUCCACUACUACAAGGUUGAAGGAGUUGAUUAUUUCUUAAGCAAGUACACAAGGGGAUCUUCUACCAAGGAGAUCGAUUGUGGUAACAAGUGUACUUCGGAUUGCAAGUGUUUGGUAUACUUUUACAACCAAGAUACUUCAAGGUGUUGGAUCGCUUAUGAUUUGAAAACCUUGACCAAAGUUGCCAAUUCCACUCACGUGGCUUACAUUAAGGCACCUAAUCACUA
RNAcentral lists this long non-coding RNA (713 nucleotides) under Prunus dulcis (almond). Its description in RNAcentral is "sRNA ncRNA". Lineage: Eukaryota; Viridiplantae; Streptophyta; Magnoliopsida; Rosales; Rosaceae. The record is from RNAcentral.